Molecule: long non-coding RNA, 2283 nt
Organism: Meriones unguiculatus (Mongolian gerbil)
Lineage: Eukaryota; Metazoa; Chordata; Mammalia; Rodentia; Muridae
Exons: 2
Source: RefSeq, a predicted model, not a curated record
GGGUGAGUCUCGGGUGCCCGGCCCUCCUGUGGGCGCGCUGGGGAAGCACAGUUCUCCUCAGGUCCAGGCGUUCCGGCGAGGGGAGCGCCCAGAAAGCCGGGAAUGGAAACCUCGGCUGGGCUGGGCUCGAGGUCGCCCCUGCCUUCAGGGUAACCGUGCCUGACGGGACAGCCGCAGAACCCACAGGGCUCACCGGGGGGAGGCCCGGAGGGGCAUGGGGAACAGAGCCCAGACUUGGACUAGGAAGACCCCUGAGUCCCAGCACCCGCCACUGCAGGCCUCAUUCCGUUUUGCAAUCAGGUGAUAGUUCAGGGGCAGGCCAGUUAACGCUGUUGCUCCCUUGGCCUUUAGUGUUUGUGUGUGAGAGAGGGAGGGUCUAAUUCUAUAGUUGGGUUUUUGUUUUUGGAGACAGGCCUUUGUGUAGCCUCGGCUCUCCUGGACUCACUUCGUCGGCAAGGCCGGCCUCGACUUCACCGAGAUCCGCCUGCUUCUGCCUCCCGGAGUGCAGGGAUUACAACCUGCAGUGUAACGCACGGUUGUAUGGCCGUGGGUGACUUGGUUUCGAACUCACGGCACUCCCCUGCCGCUGUCUUCGGAGAUUACAGAUGAAUGUACUCCGGGGCCUGGCAAGGCUUGUUUUUUUGUUGGUUUUUUUGAGACGGAGUCUCUUGCAGCCCGGGCUAGUCUGAAAUUUACGGAAGUUGGCUUUGAAUUCCCGAUCCUCCUGUCAAUACCUUACAAGCCCUAUUGCCUUUUGCACCUCAUCUUCUCUCAGCAGCCCCUCCCUUUUAAUUUUCUUGCCUUUUUCAUGUAAUCCAGGCUUGUCUUGAAUAUAACCUUGCAGUUUUAAAAAAAGAUCUUGUGUGGGUGUGUGUAUACAGGCAUAUAUAUGCAGAGGCCGGGGGAGGGUGUUGGGGUAUCUGCCAUUGCUUUCUACCUGUUCCUGAGGCAGGGUCUUUUCCUGAACCUGGGAUUUGGAUUUCCUCAUCUGAGCUGGAAGCCAGCAAGCACCAGUGGAUGGCCCUGUGGCGCACAGGUGGCCUGGCUCGCCAAGAGGGAGGCUCUCCCUAUGUUGGUCACACAGCCUGGCCUGAACUUGAGACCUUACCCCAAGGUCCAGGAUGCUGCAAUGUGCAUCUUGGUCAGCAGAUUCUCUAAAAAAGCCAGAAGCAAAGGUGCAGGCCUGUAAUGAUCUUCAGCUCAAACAGCCCAAGUGACAGUGAACCGAUCUACUUCCGCUGGCAAGCUUCGACUCCUAAGGCCCAUCCAUCUCUCAAUGUGACACUGCAACUGCCGAGUCCAGAGGACCCAGCUAAGGGACUCUCAAGGUGAUGGAUACUGCCCCUUCGUUUUGUUUUUUGAUCCUGGCCUUGAGUGUGCUAGGCUAGCACUCCACCCACUGAACUCGACAUUAACUCCCAACUGCCCACUCACUUCUAUCUAUUAUUUGUAUUUCCCCUGGAAGGGUCUCAUAGCCUGGGGAUGUGGUAUGUAGACUGGUCUAGCCUCUCCUCCCCAGGUGACGGGACUGAAAGGCAUGUGCUACCACACUCAUUUCUUGGGUUCUUGAGUCAACUGUCUCACUAUAGGCUGGCCCUGAAUUUGUGAUCCUCCUGCCUCAGAUUCCCAAGCAGUGGAAUGGUAUCACCAAAUGUAAAAGCACCACACCCAACUUGCUUUAUCCACCUCCCCCCAGCACCCAGGUGCUGGGAAAUGAAGCGUAAAUCCACCCACCCGCUACACAAGAGCUCUGCCACCGAGCUACACCCGCCUUUCACUGUUAGGCAUUGCUGUGCCCCCACACCACCACCCCGGCUCAUUUCUGACUGAGGGUGGAAGACACCUACUUCCAAUCAAACUUUCAAAAACAAAGCAGUUAAACCCUAUUAAAUGAAGCUAGGUAGUGCUGACAUCAGAUCUGUAAGUUUAUUUUGCUCAAUGUACGACGGCUACAUAAUGACUCACAUUCAUGAAUAUUCCAUCACUGAGGAAAACUGCUAAGAAUGGUCCGUGUGCAAAAUAAUUCCUUAGCGAAACACGGAGUUGGGGGGGAAAAUCACUUGAUUAGACCUUAAAAAUAGUUCACUGCAUAACAUGACAAGAAAGCACAGAGGCGCAUUCAGAGAGCGUCCAUGGCGUUCUCCUACGCUGCAAUAGUUAUAAUUUCACCAUGACAAACACCAGACAUUAAUAGUAAGCUAACACUGGUGUUUCUUUUGUCCCCUCCCCCCCGAAAAAAAUAGAACUGCAUGUCACUAUAGCAACAUCCAAAACAAAUCAAUU